RNAcentral lists this ribosomal RNA (940 nucleotides) under Triblidium yunnanense. RNAcentral describes it as "partial large subunit ribosomal RNA". It matches the Rfam family "Eukaryotic large subunit ribosomal RNA", at positions 50 to 954 of the family's 3401-position model. The record is from RNAcentral. Lineage: Eukaryota; Fungi; Ascomycota; Leotiomycetes; Triblidiales; Triblidiaceae.
UGGUAGGAAAAAACCACAGGGGAUUGCCUCAGUAACGGCGAGUGAAGCGGCAACAGCUCAAAUUUGAAAGCCGGCUCCAGCCUGCGUUGUAAUUUGCAGAGGAUGCUUCGGGCGCGGCGCUGGUCUAAGUUCUUUGGAACAAGACGUCAUAGAGGGUGAGAAUCCCGUAUGUGACUGGCCGCCUGUGCCUGUGUGAAGCUCCUUCGACGAGUCGAGUUGUUUGGGAAUGCAGCUCUAAUUGGGUGGUGUACUUCAUCUAAAGCUAAAUAUUGGCCAAAGACCGAUAGCGCACAAGUAGAGUGAUCGAAAGAUGAAAAGCACUUUGGAAAGAGAGUUAAAUAGUACGUGAAAUUGUUGAAAGGGAAGCGCUUGCAAUCAGAUCUGCGCGGCGUCGAUCAGCCGAGGUUCUCCUCGGUGCACUCGGCGCUGCUCAAGUCAGCAUCAGCUUCGGCGGCUGGAUAAAGACCCGGGGAACGUGAGUUGUCUCGGCAACUGUUAUAGCCUCGGGUGUCAUGCAGCCUGCUGGGACUGAGGACCGCGCUUCGGCAAGGAUGCUGACGUAAUGGUUGUAAGCGACCCGUCUUGAAACACGGACCAAGGAGUCUAACAUCUAUGCGAGUGUUUGGGUGUCAAACCCAUCCGCGUAAUGAAAGUGAAUGGAGGUGAGAACUCUUCAGAGUGCAUCAUCGACCGAUCUUGAUGUCUUCGGAUGGAUUUGAGUAAGAGCAUAGCUGUUGGGACCCGAAAGGUUAGUGCUGCCCCCUCCCCCCUCUUUUUAAUCAAAUUUUAAUACUAACGGUUGGAUUCUAGAUGGUGAACUAUGCCUGAAUAGGGUGAAGCCAGAGGAAACUCUGGUGGAGGCUCGCAGCGGUUCUGACGUGCAAAUCGAUCGACAAAUUUGGGUAUAGGGCCGAAAGACUAAUCGAACCCCUCUAGACAG